RNAcentral lists this transfer RNA (76 nucleotides) under Caudoviricetes sp. RNAcentral describes it as "tRNA-Gln". It matches the Rfam family "tRNA". From Rfam's summary of the family: Transfer RNA (tRNA) molecules are approximately 80 nucleotides in length. Their secondary structure includes four short double-helical elements and three loops (D, anti-codon, and T loops). The record is from RNAcentral. Lineage: Duplodnaviria; Heunggongvirae; Uroviricota; Caudoviricetes.
UGCGGAGUGGAGCAGCUGGCAGCUCGCGCGGCUCUGGACCGCGAGGACGCAGGUUCGACCCCUGCCUCCGCAGCCA